Small nucleolar RNA from Lepisosteus oculatus (spotted gar), 74 nucleotides. Lineage: Eukaryota; Metazoa; Chordata; Actinopteri; Semionotiformes; Lepisosteidae. The record is from Ensembl.
GAGUGAUGAAACUUGAACUGAAACAGCUGGAAUUACCGGCAGAUUUCACCGUGGUGAGAAAAGGUUUUCUGAAU